ACGAGAUGAGCUUGUAUCUGAUUAGCUAGUUGGUGAGGUAACGGCCCACCAAGGCUACGAUCAGUAGCUGGUCUGAGAGGAUGAUCAGCCACAUUGGAACUGAGACACGGUCCAG
This 115-nucleotide ribosomal RNA is filed under the name uncultured bacterium. Its description in RNAcentral is "partial 16S ribosomal RNA". It matches the Rfam family "Bacterial small subunit ribosomal RNA", at positions 220 to 334 of the family's 1533-position model. The record is from RNAcentral.